Molecule: unclassified non-coding RNA, 1766 nt
Filed under: Leishmania donovani
Lineage: Eukaryota; Euglenozoa; Kinetoplastea; Trypanosomatida; Trypanosomatidae
Description: gene:LdHU3.27.0540(CDS-product:ribosome_productio n_factor_1_putative)
Source: RNAcentral
UCCUCCACUGCGGUGGCCUCCGCACUCGCUGCUCACCGUUGUCGCAUCCUAACUCGUUCUUCUCUCUUACAGUGAAGACUUGUAGUGGGUACAAGGCACCGUAGCUUGCUACUGCGCAAGCUCGUGCGCCGUACGUGUGCGUGUCGGGCUACCCUGUUUGCGUGCGCUGAUAGAGAGAGCGUCACCCAGGUGGAGUGUGAACCUUUCGCCUUUCCUUUUUUUGUUUGUGUGUGUUUUGUCGCUGUGACUCGGGCGUCGUUCUCUUAUCGCGGGGAAGGGGCCGACACACGCGCGCAGCGCCCACGCGUGUCCUCCGCACGAGCCGCACGCCCCGUCUUUUCUUUCGCUCUUUGACGGCAUCACCUGCUAUUUCUCGUUCGCCGUCGGCGGGAUGGGCAAAGGCGCGCGAUCGAAGCGCAGCACGCGCCCGUACGCGAAGAGGCAGCACGUGCUGGAGAGCAAGGCGCAGGAGGUGGACCCGGCGUUGCUGGAGCGUUACCGCAACACACAGCAACCGAUUCGUAAGUCGCAGCUCUUCACUGAGAUCUUGAAGCAGAAGAAGGACACGAAGCGAGCGCGUCGCGAGUCUCGCGAAAACGAACGCCGCCACCUCAAAGAUAAGGCACCUGUCAAGGCGACCCCCAAAACGAAGGAGCGCAAGCGCAGAGCCGAUGUCACCAUCAUUGAGAACAAGGAAGACGCUGAGAUCAUCAAUGACGAGGCCGACGACGAGUUUGCUGCAUUCUUUCGCGACCGCAAGAACCCCAAGACGCUCAUCACCACUGGCGAGCACCCGUGCUUCCGCACCAAGCAGCUCGUAAAGGAGCUCCUGUGGCUGGUGCCCAACAGCAUCUACCGCCCGCGCAAGUCGUACACACUGAAGGAGAUUACUCUGUUCUGCUGCAAUCGCGAGUUCACAGACCUCCUUGUCGUGACGGAUCGCAUUAAGGAGCCGUACAACUUGAUCGUCUCGCACCUCCCCGAGGGGCCGACGGCCACCUUUCGCGUUUCCAACUUUUUAAGCUACACCCAGCUGGAGGACCCUGCGCCGCGGACGGAGCACUACCCGGAGCUCAUCUUCAAGAACUUUGACACGCGACUCGGACGCCGCAUCUCCCGCAUGCUGGAGUGCCUCUUUCCCGCCACUCGAGACUACGCUGGCCGCGCCGUCGCGACGUUUCACAAUCAGCGCGACUACAUAUUUCUCCGCACUCACCGCUACAUCUUCGACGGCCUUGAGGCGGUGCGUCUGCAGGAGAUGGGCCCGCGCUUCACGCUGCGCCUCCUAUCGCUGCAGUCGGGCACGUUCGACCGGCAGUUUGGCGAGUACGAGUGGUACCGCAAGAAGGAGCACGACGCCGACACCCUCGAGUGGUACAUGUAGGCGCGCAGGAACACACACACCCAUGGACGUAGUCUGAGAGACGCACGCACUGCAGCUCGCGCUCACUCCGUCGACGAGGAAGCAGCAGGAGCGUGUGUGCGUGCGUGUAAAGGGGCGUCAUAUUAAACACGAUUAACGCGGGAGUGGAGUGGAGGGGGGAGGCACUGCCGUGCUCCUUACACCCACUCCCUCCAACCCCCCUCUUACACGUCAAGCAAACAACCAUAACGUAAACGAAAUACACGCGAAGGAGGAAGCCGGGAAGAUGGCGCCGGCGCCGGCGCCGUGCGGCGUGUGCGGGUGCUGCGGCAGCAGCAGGGAGACGAGGAUGACCUGUACCCUCCCCUCGCCUCCGUACAAACAGGCGAGAGAAGAGCGCAAG